GACGAACGCUGGCGGCGUGCUUAACACAUGCAAGUCGAACGGAAAGGCCCUGCUUUUGUGGGGUGCUCGAGUGGCGAACGGGUGAGUAACACGUGAGUAACCUGCCCUUGACUUUGGGAUAACUUCAGGAAACUGGGGCUAAUACCGGAUAGGAGCUCCUGCUGCAUGGUGGGGGUUGGAAAGUUUCGGCGGUUGGGGAUGGACUCGCGGCUUAUCAGCUUGUUGGUGGGGUAGUGGCUUACCAAGGCUUUGACGGGUAGCCGGCCUGAGAGGGUGACCGGCCACAUUGGGACUGAGAUACGGCCCAGACUCCUACGGUAGGCAGCAGUGGGGAAUAUUGCACAAUGGGCGGAAGCCUGAUGCAGCAACGCCGCGUGCGGGAUGACGGCCUUCGGGUUGUAAACCGCUUUCGCCUGUGACGAAGCGUUAGUGACGGUAAUGGGUAAAGAAGCACCGGCUAACUACGUG
This 468-nucleotide ribosomal RNA is filed under the name uncultured bacterium. RNAcentral describes it as "partial 16S ribosomal RNA". It matches the Rfam family "Bacterial small subunit ribosomal RNA", at positions 28 to 507 of the family's 1533-position model. The record is from RNAcentral.